CCUACGGGUGGCAGCAGUGAGGAAUAUUGGUAAAUGGACGGAAGUCUGAACCAGCCAUGCCGCGUGCAGGAAGACGGCUCUAUGAGUUGUAAACUUCUUUGACAGGGGAAGAGCAGAAGACGGUACCCUGAAAACAAGCCACGGCUAACUACGUGCCAGCAGCCGCGGUAAUACGUAGGUGGCAAGCGUUGUCCGGAUUUACUGGGUGUAAAGGGCGUGUAGCCGGGAAGGCAAGUCAGAUGUGAAAUCUGGAGGCUCAACCUCCAAAUUGCAUUUGAAACUGUUUUUCUUGAGUACUGGAGAGGCAGACGGAAUUCCUUGUGUAGCGGGGAAAUGCGUAGAUAUAAGGAGGAACACCAGUGGCGAAGGCGGUCUGCUGGACAGCAACUGACGGUGAGGCGCGAAAGCGUGGGGAGCAAACAGGAUUAGAUACCCCAGUAGUC
RNAcentral lists this ribosomal RNA (443 nucleotides) under uncultured bacterium. RNAcentral's name for it is "partial 16S ribosomal RNA". It matches the Rfam family "Bacterial small subunit ribosomal RNA", at positions 338 to 795 of the family's 1533-position model. The record is from RNAcentral.